UGGAAUUAAGCGAUCAUCUGUAAGUUGAUUUAUUAAUUUUCAUCACAAAAUUAGUUAGAUUUAUACGACAAUCGGAUUAUUCGUUGCGAUUUUUUCCCUACAUACUCAUAAGAGUAUAGUAGCCGGACUAAAUAUAUAUAUAGGUUUUUGGGGUGCAGUCUAAGGCUUCGCUUGGGAUUUUGGGGAGAUUGCAUUACAUGCGGUGAGAAAGUACGAUAAGAAAAUAUUCUGUUUGUUUCUGUAUGUAAUAUUGCAUUUCGCAUAUCGCGAUGAGUCGGUUACGGUAUUUUUUUUGUGAUCCCACCGGAGAACGCAGAAGCAUAUCCCUAUAUGCUUUACCCUAACUUCAUUUUAUCUAAUAGCGUCAGAUGGGUUUUGUUAUUUUUGGUUUAGAUUUGUAGUUAUCUAAAUUGAGAAUAAAUUCUAAUCUAAUUGGGAUUAGAUAUUAUUUAGAUUUAAUUUUGGCAUAUAUGGAUUAUAAUUAGGAGUAUAAUUCUAAUUAGAAUUAGACUCUAAUUAGGAGACAUGUAUUAUAUAUACAUGCUACGGCCAAGUUAAUGACGCCGCGAUCAAAAAAUUUGAGAAGCCAUGCAAAUUAAUUAAGAGCAUGUUGGUAGAUGUACGGAUUGGAGAAGCCGGAUCUCUAAUUAAGAAGGCACGCCUAAUUAAGUCCAAGCCGUACAUGCUUCUUCGGGCUGGUGGUCUGGUGGCUCUAAUUAAGCCAUGCACUAAUUAAAGUGUUGAUGGUCCGUACGGUUGAGGAUGAAUGAGCAGCUUUGAGCCAAAGAAGAGAAGCUGUGCAUUGUUUCUAUGAAGAUCCAAGCUAUUUAAUUAAGAAGCAUCUUGGUAUUCCGUACGGGUGAAGGAGCCAGCCGGUUAUUUGGAGUUGCGUUGUUGCGGCGUUUCGAUCUAAUUAAGUUUGGUCUUUGAGAGGUCCUUCUUUG
Molecule: long non-coding RNA, 944 nt
Filed under: Ananas comosus (pineapple)
Lineage: Eukaryota; Viridiplantae; Streptophyta; Magnoliopsida; Poales; Bromeliaceae
Description: long non-coding RNA (ACOM_LNC000551)
Source: RNAcentral